This 253-nucleotide ribosomal RNA is filed under the name uncultured bacterium. Its description in RNAcentral is "partial 16S ribosomal RNA". It matches the Rfam family "Archaeal small subunit ribosomal RNA", at positions 474 to 727 of the family's 1478-position model. The record is from RNAcentral.
UACCAGCACCCCGAGUGGUCGGGACGAUUAUUGGGCCUCAAGCAUCCGUAGCCGGUUCUACAAGUCUUCCGUUAAAUCCACCUGCUUAACAGAUGGGCUGCGGAGGAUACUAUAGAGCUAGGAGGCGGGAGAGGCAAGCGGUACUUAGUGGGUAGGGGUAAAAUCCGUUGAUCCAUUGAAGACCACCAGUGGCGAAGGCGGCUUGCCAGAACGCACUCGACGGUGAGGGAUGAAAGCUGGGGGAGCAAACCGG